UGAAAAAUUAGCGGAUGACUUGUGGCUGGGGGUGAAAGGCCAAUCAAACCGGGAGAUAGCUGGUUCUCCCCGAAAGCUAUUUAGGUAGCGCCUCGUGAAUUCAUCUUCGGGGGUAGAGCACUGUUUCGGCUAGGGGUCAUCCCGACUUACCAACCCGAUGCAAACUACGAAUACCGAAGAAUGUUAUCACGGGAGACACACGGCGGGUGCUAACGUCCGUCGUGAAGAGGGAAACAACCCAGACCGCCAGCUAAGGUCCCAAAGUCAUGGUUAAGUGGGAAACGAUGUGGGAAGGCACAGACAGCCAGGAUGUUGGCUUAGAAGCAGCCAUCAUUUAAAGAAAGCGUAAUAGCUCACUGGUCGAGUCGGCCUGCGCGGAAGAUGUAACGGGGCUAAACCAUGCACCGAAGCUGCGGCAGCGACACUAUGUGUUGUUGGGUAGGGGAGCGUUCUGUAAGCCUGCGAAGGUGACCUGUGAGGGUUGCUGGAGGUA
RNAcentral lists this ribosomal RNA (493 nucleotides) under Klebsiella pneumoniae. RNAcentral's name for it is "bacterial LSU rRNA". It matches the Rfam family "Bacterial large subunit ribosomal RNA", at positions 790 to 1281 of the family's 2925-position model. Lineage: Bacteria; Pseudomonadati; Pseudomonadota; Gammaproteobacteria; Enterobacterales; Enterobacteriaceae. The record is from RNAcentral.